UACAGGGGGUGCAAACGUUGCUCGGAAUUACUGGGCGUAAAGCGCGUGUAGGCGGCUCGGAAAGUCGGAUGUGAAAGCCCUGGGCUUAACCUAGGAAGUGCAUUCGAAACUCCCGAGCUUGAGUUCUGGAGAGGAAGGCGGAAUUCUCGGUGUAGAGGUGAAAUUCGUAGAUAUCGAGAGGAACACCGGUGGCGAAGGCGGCCUUCUGGACAGUGACUGACGCUGAGACGCGAAAGCGUGGGGAGCAAACAGG
Molecule: ribosomal RNA, 253 nt
Filed under: uncultured bacterium
Lineage: Bacteria
Description: partial 16S ribosomal RNA
Rfam family: Bacterial small subunit ribosomal RNA
Source: RNAcentral